UUCUUUUUUUAAAGCUUCUCACUUGUUUCUUUGUGUCUCCCAAAUGAGAACUAUAGGAAUCAAAAGGACAGAUAUUUCAGGAUAGAAACAGAGGUGCAAAGAUACAUUAACAGUCAAGAUCGAAUCCCUAUCCUACUUGGGUGCAUAGUUCCAAAAUCAACUACAGAAAUGGAGGUUGAAGUUGGCCCUGGUGAGUCAUUCAGGCUGUGUCUGGGGACGACUGAAUACCAUUAGGAUGACACACUUCUGUGAACAUUUGAUGGUGUUCUUUUCAUUCCCUCUCAAAGACAUCUUCUUGCCGGUCCAUGUAACUGAUGUAGUAUGAAAAGUAAGCUGUCACCAAGGAAACGGAGAUUACAGAUGGAAUACACAUCUUACUCUGGCUGAGGCAGACAGUGCAGAUGAGGCACGCUUACCUCUGAAGAAAGGAGUGUUUGAAGGAAGACUUUAGAUAGCCAACCUUCACCCUGAUAUUUCCAAUGAAAUAUUUUGAUAUUUUUCAAACAAUAGGCCAGUCAGAGGCAGAGAUAAUGUGGCAGUGCCUGAUGUUGACAUACCACUAAAAUGUUUUCUAUUUCUUUACCCCAAUCAGAAACACUCUAGUGUCUCCAUGAGGGGACAGCUUCUGGGAAAAGGGAAGUCUAUCUCCUCUCACUACCAGUGAAUUCUCCUUUAUAUUGGCAUUUGUGUUGUCUAUGCUUAUUACGUUUUCAUUAUAGUCCUUUAUCAUAUUUAACUUAACUUAAAAAACCAUAUGGUUUCUAAAUGCAGAAGGUAAUAAAUAGCAUUUAAUACACAUUAAAUUAAAUAAUUCUGUUCUAUA
Molecule: non-coding RNA, 823 nt
Organism: Cricetulus griseus (Chinese hamster)
Lineage: Eukaryota; Metazoa; Chordata; Mammalia; Rodentia; Cricetidae
Source: RefSeq, a predicted model, not a curated record